CUACGUGCCAGCAGCCGCGGUAAUACGUAGGGCGCGAGCGUUGUCCGGAAUUAUUGGGCGUAAAGAGCUUGUAGGCGGUUUGUCGCGUCUGCUGUGAAAGGCCGGGGCUUAACUCCGUGUAUUGCAGUGGGUACGGGCAGACUAGAGUGCAGUAGGGGAGACUGGAAUUCCUGGUGUAGCGGUGGAAUGCGCAGAUAUCAGGAGGAACACCGAUGGCGAAGGCAGGUCUCUGGGCUGUAACUGACGCUGAGAAGCGAAAGCAUGGGGAGCGAACAGGAUUAGAUACCCUGGUAGUCCAUGCCGUAAACGAUGAGUGCUAGGUGUUAGACCCUUUCCGGGGUUUAGUGCCGUAGCUAACGCAUUAAGCACUCCGCCUGGGGAGUACGACCGCAAGGUUGAAACUCAAAGGAAUUGACGGGGGCCCGCACAAGCGGUGGAGCAUGUGGUUUAAUUCGAAGCAACGCGAAGAACCUUACCAGGUCUUGACAUCCCUCUGACCGCUCUAGAGAUAGAGCUUUC
This 519-nucleotide ribosomal RNA is filed under the name uncultured bacterium. RNAcentral's name for it is "bacterial SSU rRNA". It matches the Rfam family "Bacterial small subunit ribosomal RNA", at positions 501 to 1016 of the family's 1533-position model. The record is from RNAcentral.